RNAcentral lists this ribosomal RNA (484 nucleotides) under uncultured bacterium. RNAcentral describes it as "partial 16S ribosomal RNA". It matches the Rfam family "Bacterial small subunit ribosomal RNA", at positions 29 to 523 of the family's 1533-position model. The record is from RNAcentral.
AACGAACGCUGGCGGCGUGCUUAACACAUGCAAGUCGAACGAGAACGGGCUAUAGCUUGCUAUAGUUGUCAGCUAAGUGGCGCACGGGUGAGUAAUGUAUAGGUAAUAUGCCUCUUACUAAGGGAUAACAAAUGGAAACGUUUGCUAAUACCUUAUACUCCUUAUUAACAGAAGUUAAUAAGGGAAAGAUUUAUUGGUAAGAGAUUAGCCUGUAUUGUAUCAGUUAGUUGGUGGGGUAAUGGCUUACCAAGACUAUGACACAUAACUGGUUUGAGAGGAUGAUCAGUCACACUGGAACUGAGACACGGUCCAGACUCCUACGGGAGGCAGCAGUGGGGAAUAUUGCACAAUGGACGAAAGUCUGAUGCAGCAACGCCGCGUGGAGGAUGACACAUUUCGGUGCGUAAACUCCUUUUAUAUGAGAAGAUAAUGACGGUAUUAUAUGAAUAAGCACCGGCUAACUCCGUGCCAGCAGCUGCCGUAA